This 783-nucleotide unclassified non-coding RNA is filed under the name Hevea brasiliensis (rubber tree). The record is from RNAcentral. Lineage: Eukaryota; Viridiplantae; Streptophyta; Magnoliopsida; Malpighiales; Euphorbiaceae.
GAUUAAUCUAACAAUUCAUUAUUGCUUCGGUUCAAUUAGUGACAACAUUUGAGGUUCAAAAACGUAUUGCUUGGAUCUAUCACUGCAAAACUUGUGACUGGGAACAAAUAAUAGCAUUCACACAAUGUAAAUAGUAAAACUUCUCUUAAUGAAGUUCUAGUUUCAAACUUUGAGUUGAUGAGUAAAAUAAUUGCUGUCAAGAUGUCAGUCAAUUGCAUAUAAACUCUAACGUCAGUGAUACUUGUUAUUAAAAUAAAACUAGUUAUUUUUCUCAAUUGCCUGGCGUAGUGCAACUUUGAAGAAUCAUGAGCUAUUGCCUAUUGAUGCAAGUUUGAAUAACAUACAAUGGAAUUGGAUUAAUAUGAUUAUCAAAAGAUUUUCUGUGUUGAUGUUCUUAUUUGUUUAUAGAACUUGGUCACAAUGAUUUAAUUGCAUUAACCAUCUUAUGUACAAUUUUCCCCUACUGGGAAAUAUAUGCUGUUCUUGUUAUAUGUCCCUAUUUAGCCAUUCUCUCCUAAACAUGGCUGGAGAGAUUGAUAAUAAAGUUUGAGACAAUUGUUGAAUUCUCUGUAUUUAAAACUAUUAGCCAUAUUCAUCGAAGGCAAAAGCUAUGUCUAUCAACUCAACUAGUUCAAAUAAAGGUUAAGCACAUCUCCCGUGCAUGCUCUCUCAAAAUGUAUUAUUUUGCUGAAUAAAUUUACAUGGCUUUCUGAUUAGAAAAUUCUUUGUUUGGAAAACCCCUUUAAUUGUUGUAUGUUUUGUAAUUCAGUUACCUAAUUUAUU